UUGGUGGCGAUAGCGAAGAGGUCACACCCGUUCCCAUACCGAACACGGAAGUUAAGCUCUUCAGCGCCGAUGGUAGUCGGGGGUUUCCCCCUGUGAGAGUAGGACGCCGCCAAGCA
This 116-nucleotide ribosomal RNA is filed under the name Bacillus subtilis XF-1. The record is from RNAcentral. Lineage: Bacteria; Bacillati; Bacillota; Bacilli; Caryophanales; Bacillaceae.